ACGGAGUCCGUCGGCCUGCGCGUCGAGUCUAACCGUGAGUCCCAAAGGACCGGGAAACGGCUUUAUUUCUAGAUAUAACAGACAACAGUGAGGAAUGUUUCCGCUCCGAAGCAUAGCCUGAUCCCAGCGUAGUAGAGCCCGUCUCCCCUCCCAACAACAACACGGAACCCUCCUCCUCCACACCGCGGUAGAGAGGGCGGCGAGCUAACCUUAGCUGCGGAGCCAAGCUGUGAACACACUGACUCUACAUUGAAGAAUAGUAUUGGGGAGAUGACAACAGUCCAUGCUGUGAGCAGAGGUGAUGAGUGUCCUCUGUUAAUGGUCUGGAUCCUUCCUCCUUGGUCAAACAUCAUAGCGGAAGUCAGCCUUGAAAUCUGGGAGACAGCCAGCUUACCCUCCAUCUCCCCACCACCAUCUCUCCAUCAAACCGUCACAGCACAGGAAAUAAGCGUUUCCUCGAGCUGGGGUGGGCUGGAGCUCGCCUCGUAUCAGGAUUAUCUAUCCCCAUCUUCGGUGAUGCCCAAUUAGUCGGAGAGCUGAUAAAACCAAGCACCUCUCACAAUGCUGGCAUAGAAGUCUACAUCUGUGCUUCACGUGUAGGCACCAGGUUUGAAACUCAAGACAGAUCAUAGUGGGGGUUUACUGAACUGAUAUGACAUGAGAAGUACCGGUAUGUUUAUGAACAAACAAAUGAAGAGACUAAAUCCCAAUCACUGCAUUUUUCUGUACAUUUUAGGGAACCUUGUUAAAAGGGGCACAAGUUGUGCUUCCUUUUCUGUUUUGAUGGAUCCAUUGAGGUUAUAUCACUGGUUCAGAGAUGAGAGAGAGAGAGAGAGAGAGAGAGAGAGAGAGAGAGAGAGAGAGAGAGAGAGAGAGAGAGAGAGAGAGAGAGAGAGAGAGAGAGAGAGAGAGAGAGAGAGAGAGAGAGAGAGAGAGAGAGAGAGAUCAAAUCCCAUAUUCCACACAUUCAACCAAAACCAUUGUUCAGACAGUGAAAACAUCCCCCCCACCUCAGCAUUGGUUUUAUUCUCUAUUUGUUUCUAUUCUGUUAGUAAUAUGCGGUUAAUAAAUGAGAUAAGGCCAUGGACCUUAUCUCAUUUAGUUCGUAUUGAGAUUGCAUGGCUAACGAAUACUAAUAAAUCACCCAGUUGAGAACCCUACUCUGCCCUUCUUCAUUUGCGGGACCAGAUGUAUCUUAAACAGUUGUUAAUAUACUGGCAUUAAAUGUCAGCUUUUUAUCUGCUGCAUAAUCUAGGUACAUUGUGAUCAAAACAACAGCAGAUGAUAGAGGACUGCGUGACGGGUAGGUUAGUCUCCCCUUAGGCCAGUGUUUGUGUGUUCUGAAUUUAUAUAGUGUUGUAUAUCACCACUUCAAAGCUCAAUGCAUUUCAAAAGGGCAUCCUCUAUCUGCCUCUCUAAAUGACACAAGCCUCUAAUCUCCAGGAAGAAGGAUUCAAAGUGGAUAUAGAGCAGAGUCAGCAUGUCAUAGUUUGUAUCGUGAGUCAACACUUGUAUUAAAGCAAUGGCCAAUUAAGCCGUGUGUGUGUGUGUGUGUGUGUGUGUGUGUGUGUGUGUGUGUGUGUGUGUGUGUGUGUGUGUGUGUGUGUGUGUGUGUGCAUCCGCCUAUUCAAAAUCAAUAAAAUAUCUAGAUUCAAAAGAACUUAAAGCACCUCCAUGCUUGCUUCAAACCUCCCAAGGAAGCUAACAGGGUCAGGGUUCCAGAACUGAUGGAUUCUAGUGUGGCAUGUGCUUCUAUUUAUAACAUGGUUAUAAUUACAUGUCUGGUCCUUCCUUUGGCCGUGAUGUACAUUUUUAGUCAAGGAAUAAUUCAUCCUGCCACUGCUGCCAUUUAUUAUUGUCAUGACUCUGAGGUCUGAGGCAAGUCUGGGAAAAUGUAUUCUCCACUCCCCACAGAGGCUGACGAAAAACAAGGAAUUUGUGUGAGUUUGUGUGUUUGUGAUACUUGCGCAAGUAUGCAAGUGUGUGUUUGCAUGUGUUUUCUUUUCAUUUUGUAAUAAAACAAUUGGGAAAGAGA
Gadus morhua (Atlantic cod) is the source of this 2035-nucleotide long non-coding RNA. RefSeq lists it as uncharacterized. The transcript has 3 exons. Lineage: Eukaryota; Metazoa; Chordata; Actinopteri; Gadiformes; Gadidae. The record is from RefSeq and is a predicted model, not a curated record.